UAAGGAAUAUUGGUCAAUGGACGCAAGUCUGAACCAGCCAUGCCGCGUAAAGGAUGAAGGUCCUCUGGAUUGUAAACUUCUUUUAUCUGGGACGAAAACGGGAUUUUUAUCUCAAUUGACGGUACCAGAGGAAUAAGCACCGGCUAACUCCGUGCCAGCAGCCGCGGUAAUACGGAGGGUGCGAGCGUUAUCCGGAUUUACUGGGUUUAAAGGGUGCGUAGGUGGGCUUAUAAGUCAGUGGUGAAAUCUCCGAGCUUAACUUGGAAACUGCCGUUGAUACUAUAGGUCUUGAAUUAUCUGGAGGUAAGCGGAAUAUGUCAUGUAGCGGUGAAAUGCUUAGAUAUGACAUAGAACACCAAUUGCGAAGGCAGCUUACUACAUAUAAGUUGGCGCUGAGGCACGAAAGCGUGGGGAUCAAACA
RNAcentral lists this ribosomal RNA (421 nucleotides) under uncultured bacterium. RNAcentral describes it as "bacterial SSU rRNA". It matches the Rfam family "Bacterial small subunit ribosomal RNA", at positions 355 to 774 of the family's 1533-position model. The record is from RNAcentral.